This 267-nucleotide long non-coding RNA is filed under the name Olea europaea (common olive). RNAcentral describes it as "long non-coding RNA (OEUR_LNC012162)". The record is from RNAcentral. Lineage: Eukaryota; Viridiplantae; Streptophyta; Magnoliopsida; Lamiales; Oleaceae.
UCGGUAAUAGUGGCUAAGAACAAACCUCUUUCUCAUCAAUGACUUCAAUUCUUCCCAAGUGCUAACUGGUCUUCCCCCACUCCUGCGUUGUGAAGUAACCACUUGGUCCCACCAUGAAAUGGCAUAGUCACUGAACUCUAAAACUGCUAACUUCACCUUCUUCUCCUCCGAAUAAUUAUAACAUUCGAAGAUCAUCUCAACCUUUCUCUCCCACUCCAGAUAUGCUUCGGGAUCACUCCUUCCUUUGAAUGAAGGAAUGGUCAUCUU